RNAcentral lists this ribosomal RNA (418 nucleotides) under uncultured bacterium. RNAcentral describes it as "bacterial SSU rRNA". It matches the Rfam family "Bacterial small subunit ribosomal RNA", at positions 8 to 456 of the family's 1533-position model. The record is from RNAcentral.
AGAGUUUGAUCCUGGCUCAGAACGAACGCUGGCGGCAGGCUUAACACAUGCAAGUCGAACGCACCUUCGGGUGAGUGGCGCACGGGUGAGUAACGCGUGGGAAUGUACCGUUUAGUACGGAAUAGCUCCGGGAAACUGGAAUUAAUACCGUAUACGCCCUUCGGGGGAAAGAUUUAUCGCUAAACGAUCAGCCCGCGUGAGAUUAGGUAGUUGGUGGGGUAAUGGCCUACCAAGCCUACGAUCUCUAGCUGGUCUGAGAGGAUGAUCAGCCACACUGGAACUGAGACACGGUCCAGACUCCUACGGGAGGCAGCAGUGGGGAAUUUUCCGCAAUGGGCGAAAGCCUGACGGAGCAAUACCGCGUGAGGGACGAAGGUCUGUGGAUUGUAAACCUCUUUUGUUAGGGAAGAUAAUGACG